This 563-nucleotide ribosomal RNA is filed under the name uncultured bacterium. Its description in RNAcentral is "partial 16S ribosomal RNA". It matches the Rfam family "Bacterial small subunit ribosomal RNA", at positions 355 to 907 of the family's 1533-position model. The record is from RNAcentral.
UGGGGAAUAUUGCACAAUGGGCGCAAGCCUGAUGCAGCCAUGCCGCGUGUGUGAAGAAGGCCUUCGGGUUGUAAAGCACUUUCAGCGAGGAGGAAGGUGGUGAGCUUAAUACGCUCAUCAAUUGACGUUACUCGCAGAAGAAGCACCGGCUAACUCCGUGCCAGCAGCCGCGGUAAUACGGAGGGUGCAAGCGUUAAUCGGAAUUACUGGGCGUAAAGCGCACGCAGGCGGUUUGUUAAGUCAGAUGUGAAAUCCCCGGGCUCAACCUGGGAACUGCAUUUGAAACUGGCAAGCUAGAGUCUCGUAGAGGGGGGUAGAAUUCCAGGUGUAGCGGUGAAAUGCGUAGAGAUCUGGAGGAAUACCGGUGGCGAAGGCGGCCCCCUGGACGAAGACUGACGCUCAGGUGCGAAAAGCGUGGGGCAGCAAACAGGAUUAGAUACCCUGGUAGUCCAGCGCUGUAAACGAUGUCGAUUUGGAGGUUGUGCCCUUGAGGCGUGGCUUCCGGAGCUAACGCGUUAAAUCGACCGCCUGGGGAGUACGGCCGCAAGGUUAAAACUCAAAGG